This 419-nucleotide ribosomal RNA is filed under the name Escherichia coli IS1. RNAcentral's name for it is "LSU rRNA". It matches the Rfam family "Bacterial large subunit ribosomal RNA", at positions 1059 to 1482 of the family's 2925-position model. The record is from RNAcentral. Lineage: Bacteria; Pseudomonadati; Pseudomonadota; Gammaproteobacteria; Enterobacterales; Enterobacteriaceae.
GUUWAGUGGGAAACGAUGUGGGAAGGCCCAGACAGCCAGGAUGUUGGCUUAGAAGCAGCCAUCAUUUAAAGAAAGCGUAAUAGCUCACUGGUCGAGUCGGCCUGCGCGGAAGAUGUAACGGGGCUAAACCAUGCACCGAAGCUGCGGCAGCGACACUAUGUGUUGUUGGGUAGGGGAGCGUUCUGUAAGCCUGUGAAGGUGUGCUGUGAGGCAUGCUGGAGGUAUCAGAAGUGCGAAUGCUGACAUAAGUAACGAUAAAGCGGGUGAAAAGCCCGCUCGCCGGAAGACCAAGGGUUCCUGUCCAACGUUAAUCGGGGCAGGGUGAGUCGACCCCUAAGGCGAGGCCGAAAGGCGUAGUCGAUGGGAAACAGGUUAAUAUUCCUGUACUUGGUGUUACUGCGAAGGGGGGACGGAGAAGG